UAGGGAAUCUUCCGCAAUGGACGCAAGUCUGACGGAGCAACGCCGCGUGAGUGAAGAAGGAUUUCGGUUCGUAAAACUCUGUUGUUAGAGAAGAACAGCGCAUAGAGUAACUGUUAUGCGUGUGACGGUAUCUAACCAGAAAGCCACGGCUAACUACGUGCCAGCAGCCGCGGUAAUACGUAGGUGGCAAGCGUUGUCCGGAUUUAUUGGGCGUAAAGCGAGCGCAGGCGGUCAAUUAAGUCUGAUGUGAAAGCCCCCGGCUCAACCGGGGAGGGUCAUUGGAAACUGGUUGACUUGAGUGCAGAAGAGGAGAGUGGAAUUCCAUGUGUAGCGGUGAAAUGCGUAGAUAUAUGGCGGAACACCAGUGGCGAAGGCGACUCUCUGGUCUGUAACUGACGCUGAGGCUCGAAAGCGUGGGUAGCAAACAGG
Molecule: ribosomal RNA, 429 nt
Filed under: Bacteroidota bacterium
Lineage: Bacteria; Pseudomonadati; Bacteroidota
Description: Bacteroidetes bacterium partial 16S ribosomal RNA
Rfam family: Bacterial small subunit ribosomal RNA
Source: RNAcentral